RNAcentral lists this ribosomal RNA (253 nucleotides) under uncultured bacterium. Its description in RNAcentral is "partial 16S ribosomal RNA". It matches the Rfam family "Bacterial small subunit ribosomal RNA", at positions 524 to 776 of the family's 1533-position model. The record is from RNAcentral.
UACGGGGGGGGCAAGCGUUGUUCGGAAUUACUGGGCGUAAAGGGCUCGUAGGCGGCCAACUAAGUCAGACGUGAAAUCCCUCGGCUUAACCGGGGAACUGCAUCUGAUACUGGAUGGCUUGAGUUCGGGAGAGGGAUGCGGAAUUCCAGGUGUAGCGGUGAAAUGCGUAGAUAUCGGGAGGAACAUCAGUGGCGAAGGCGGCUACCUGGCCCAAUACUGACACUCAGGUGCGACAGCGUGGGGAGCAAACAGG